AAUGAACGCUGGCGGCGUGGAUUAGGCAUGCAAGUCGAGCGAGAAAGGGGGGAGCAAUCCCCUGAGUAAAGCGGCGAACUGGUUAGUAUAAGAUGGGAAACGUGCCUUUCAGCCUGGGAUAACCCGUGGAAACACGGACUAAUACCGGAUGUGGUUCAGGGGUCUUCGGGCCUUUGGACUAAAGAUGCGGCAGUAAUGUUGUGUCACUGAAGAUCGUCCGUCCCGAUUAGCUAGUUGGNGGGGUAACGGCCUACCAAGGCGACGAUCGGUAGCUGGUCUGAGAGGAUGGUCAGCAACACUGGGACUGAGAUACGGGCCCAGACUCCUACGGGGAGCAGCAGUCUAGAGGCUUCGUCAAUGGGGGCAACCCUGAACGAGCGACGCCG
This 386-nucleotide ribosomal RNA is filed under the name uncultured bacterium. Its description in RNAcentral is "bacterial SSU rRNA". It matches the Rfam family "Bacterial small subunit ribosomal RNA", at positions 29 to 399 of the family's 1533-position model. The record is from RNAcentral.